Molecule: small nucleolar RNA, 89 nt
Organism: Hippocampus comes (tiger tail seahorse)
Lineage: Eukaryota; Metazoa; Chordata; Actinopteri; Syngnathiformes; Syngnathidae
Source: Ensembl
AGCCGAUGAUGACAAAUCAAUUAACUUUUCUGACACCUACUAUGACAGCUGCCCUACAGCUUGUGAUUCUACUUUUUAUCCUGAGGCUU